AAAACCUACAACGAAUUGGACAGAAAUACAUAUUAUUAAUAAUUGUAGGUUAUGUAAUUUACACGUAAUAUACAUAUGUAGACCAGAGCAGAAGUCCUUUAAAGUGAAACAAGUUCGUAAUAGGUUAAAGCUCAUUGGAAAUGAUAGAUCAAAUACCAAAAUGAAAAUAAAAACUAUUUACUGUGGUCGCUAAGGUUUGAAUUUUUAGGGGUUAAAAACGGUUUAGCUCGACUUCCUGCAAAACCACGACGACUAUUUAAAACCGUAAAAUGAUAAAGUUUUAGACAAAAAACAAAUCGACAAAUUUUUUAUUAACACCUUUUGAAACAUUUUGAAUGGUCCGAUGUCCAGGACUAAACAAUAAACCUUCCAAUGAAGUUCAUGUAAAAGAUCAACGAAUUUUGGACCCCCUCUAUUUUUACAAAAAGAUACACAAAUAAGCAAAGAAAAAUGAGUUCAAGUGCAGGCGAACACUACAGGGUUUGUCCGGAAGUAUGCUACUUAUGCGUCGAUGCAGCGCUGCCAGCGCCAUGUAUUGAAGGGGUCACGUAAGGCAUUCUCCGGAAUAGCCUUGAGAGCCAAGGUACGUGCUUGGACCCCCUCUGUCGUCUCAAAAUGCUUGCUUUUCAUCGGCCUUUUCAGGCAAGGACACAAAAAUAUUGCGGCCUUGGUUAGGUAACUGUUCAUAAGAAAGGAGGUGUGAACCAGGCCGUUGUCGUGGUGCAACUUCCAAUCGGCUGCGAUGUCCUUUCCGACCCGAUUGACCCUUCGUUUGAGUCUCUUGAGAACUUCCACGUAAAACUGGACGUUGACAGUUUGUCAAGGAAGAACAAAUUCAUGGUGGACGAUGCCUUUGACGCCAAAACAACAGAGAGCAUCUCCCAACACAGUCUUCAUCAACGACUUCUUCUCGGCCUUCCAGAAAGGCCUAGUGCCACCGAAACACACCACUUCUUGCUAAAACAACAUCUGGCUUGCACCACUGACAGAAACACGUCGGGCGAACAUGUCUUGAGACAACUGACCAGCCGCUCGUUCGUUGCAGUCGCGGCGGCAGAAAAUCAGUACUAUUACUUUCCGGACAAACCCUGUAUAUACGGUACUCGAUCAAUAUUAUUCCAUGCGCAUCCCAAAAUACAGACGCCUUAACCUUGCCAGCCGACUUUUGCUUUUUUCCAUGCUUUGGGGCGGUUUCAUCGUGUGCAGUCCACUCCGAUGACUGUCGCUGGAUUUCGGAGUGAAAUUAUAGAGCCAAAUUUCAUCCAUUGUGACACUGCUCUGAAUAAUCAACUCGCCGUUGUUUUUGGUCAAAAGCGAGCUCGCGUGGCACUCACUUUACACAAAACAUUCUCACCAACUCUACCCAAAUAUUCGUCAAAGUCACACAAUCGCUGAGGUUUUCAUUAAUGGAUUCGGCCGGUGAAGGCAACUCUCCAUUUCAGCAAAAUCUUGUUAUUUUUAUUGAAACUUCUUCGAACGCGGUAUACAUACGUACACACAUACACAUCGUACACUGCUUUGCUUUGGACUUUUGUUGUCACCCACGAAAAGAUGCUGGUGAUUAAUGAAAAGAUACACACACACACCGACGGAGAAAGAGCUUUUCUUUAAAAAAAAGAUCCACCAGGACGAAACUGUUUAAAAUCACUUGAGAAAUAACAGUAAAACAAUUUAAAUGCACCGUGGACGCGUUCACGUUACACCGCUGCUGAAAUCGAGUUCUGCGCGAUUUGUGAACGGACGGACGUACA
Bactrocera neohumeralis is the source of this 1751-nucleotide long non-coding RNA. RefSeq lists it as uncharacterized. NCBI's taxonomy places the organism in Eukaryota, Metazoa, Arthropoda, Insecta, Diptera, Tephritidae. The record is from RefSeq and is a predicted model, not a curated record. The transcript has 5 exons.